RNAcentral lists this ribosomal RNA (467 nucleotides) under uncultured bacterium. Its description in RNAcentral is "partial 16S ribosomal RNA". It matches the Rfam family "Bacterial small subunit ribosomal RNA", at positions 28 to 507 of the family's 1533-position model. The record is from RNAcentral.
GAUGAACGCUGGCGGCGUGCUUAACACAUGCAAGUCGAACGGAAAGGCCCAAGCUUGCUUGGGUACUCGAGUGGCGAACGGGUGAGUAACACGUGGGUGAUCUGCCCUGCACUUCGGGAUAAGCCUGGGAAACUGGGUCUAAUACUGGAUAGGACCACUUCUUGGAUGUUGUGGUGGAAAGUUUUUUCGGUGUGGGAUGAGCUCGCGGCCUAUCAGCUUGUUGGUGGGGUAAUGGCCUACCAAGGCGUCGACGGGUAGCCGGCCUGAGAGGGUGUACGGCCACAUUGGGACUGAGAUACGGCCCAGACGCCUACGGGAGGCAGCAGUGGGGAAGAUUGCACAAUGGGCGCAAGCCUGAUGCAGCGACGCCGCGUGGGGGAUGACGGCCUUCGGGUUGUAAACUCCUUUCGCUAGGGACGAAGCGUUUUGUGACGGUACCUGGAGAAGAAGCACCGGCUAACUACGUG